Oxyura jamaicensis (ruddy duck) is the source of this 224-nucleotide long non-coding RNA. RefSeq lists it as uncharacterized. The record is from RefSeq and is a predicted model, not a curated record. NCBI's taxonomy places the organism in Eukaryota, Metazoa, Chordata, Aves, Anseriformes, Anatidae. The transcript is spliced from 2 exons.
AGUACAGAGAAUGUUACUUUGUUUUUCAAUACUUACUGCUGAUUGGAAAAAGCAUUAUGGACUAACUCUUGCUAAACAGCAUAAACUGUAUCUCCGACCAAUCUCAUUUGUACCAAGUAGCCGUUCUUGGUAAAGAUCUUGUACGAAGAAACUACAAUUAAGAUGAGCCUAAGAACAUAUUGGCAUACUUCUAGAGGUAGAAACGUAGACGAGAAAGCACAGUU